UGGGGAAUAUUGCACAAUGGGGGAAACCCUGAUGCAGCGACGCCGCGUGAGCGAAGAAGGUUUUCGAAUCGUAAAGCUCUGUCCUAUGGGAAGAUAAUGACGGUACCAUAGGAGGAAGCCCCGGCUAACUACGUGCCAGCAGCCGCGGUAAUACGUAGGGGGCAAGCGUUGUCCGGAAUCACUGGGCGUAAAGGGUUCGCAGGCGGAAAUGCAAGUCAGUUGUGAAAGGCCGAGGCUCAACCUCUGUAAGCAAUUGAAACUGUAUUUCUUGAGAUGUGGAGAGGCAAGUGGAAUUCCUAGUGUAGAGGUGAAAUGCGUAGAUAUUAGGAAGAAUACCGGUGGCGAAGGCGACUUGCUGGACACAAACUGACGCUGAGGAACGAAAGCGUGGGUAGCAAACAGG
RNAcentral lists this ribosomal RNA (403 nucleotides) under Fusobacteriota bacterium. RNAcentral's name for it is "Fusobacteria bacterium partial 16S ribosomal RNA". It matches the Rfam family "Bacterial small subunit ribosomal RNA", at positions 355 to 776 of the family's 1533-position model. Lineage: Bacteria; Fusobacteriati; Fusobacteriota. The record is from RNAcentral.